AAUUGUUUUAUUGCGCGUUAGAUAAAUAUAACGGGCUUUUAGAGAAUUUUUUUCGUUUAGUAGAUACUUGGAAAAGCGUUGAUUGUCCGUUGAUUUUACAAACACAUUGUACUAUUAUAUCAAUAGAUACUUGGAAAAGCGUUGAUUGUCCGUUGAUUUUACAAACACAUUGUACUAUUAUAUCAAUAGAUACUUGGAAAAGCGUUGAUUGUCCGUUGAUUUUACAAACACAUUGUACUAUUAUAUCAA
Centruroides sculpturatus (bark scorpion) is the source of this 249-nucleotide long non-coding RNA. RefSeq lists it as uncharacterized. Lineage: Eukaryota; Metazoa; Arthropoda; Arachnida; Scorpiones; Buthidae. The record is from RefSeq and is a predicted model, not a curated record. The transcript is spliced from 3 exons.